UGACUUGGGUGGGAUAUUGACGCUUGAAGUCGAGCAAUCGUCCACUUCCAGCACUCUCCACGAAGUUCUUUUCCCUUCUUCUGCAGAACUGCGUGGUCCCAUGUUUUCUUUUUGGCAAAUACGAGAGAUCCACUCUAUGCACCGUUUGCGGCUCAAGUCAAGCGCCUUGGAAUUUGGGAGGAAUCGUUGACGGUCGCUACCUAGGCUAGCGAGCAGAAGACUGCCGUAGAGAUGGAGCAGUUCUCCACAAGUAGACUAAAGUUAUGGGAUCAUGGGAAACUGGAAGGCUUGUUCCAACGCCUAAACACUUGGCUCCAUUGUUAAAACCGUUAAGAUUAGAAUCCUAAACCAUGGUUAGCUUAACAAAAGCAACCAAGUCGGAAUUAAAUACAAGUAACA
RNAcentral lists this small RNA (399 nucleotides) under Histoplasma capsulatum. RNAcentral's name for it is "hypothetical RNA". RNAcentral also lists the same sequence under 1 other name. Lineage: Eukaryota; Fungi; Ascomycota; Eurotiomycetes; Onygenales; Ajellomycetaceae. The record is from RNAcentral.